UGGGGAAUUUUGGACAAUGGGCGAAAGCCUGAUCCAGCCAUGCCGCGUGCAGGAUGAAGGCCUUCGGGUUGUAAACUGCUUUUGUACGGAACGAAAAGACUCUGGUUAAUACCUGGGGUCCAUGACGGUACCGUAAGAAUAAGCACCGGCUAACUACGUGCCAGCAGCCGCGGUAAUACGUAGGGUGCAAGCGUUAAUCGGAAUUACUGGGCGUAAAGCGUGCGCAGGCGGUUAUAUAAGACAGAUGUGAAAUCCCCGGGCUCAACCUGGGAACUGCAUUUGUGACUGUAUAGCUAGAGUACGGCAGAGGGGGAUGGAAUUCCGCGUGUAGCAGUGAAAUGCGUAGAUAUGCGGAGGAACACCGAUGGCGAAGGCAAUCCCCUGGGCCUGUACUGACGCUCAUGCACGAAAGCGUGGGGAGCAAACAGGAUUAGAUACCCUGGUAGUCCACGCCCUAAACGAUGUCAACUGGUUGUUGGGGUCUUUCACUGACUCAGUAACGAAGCUAACGCGUGAAGUUGACCGCCU
RNAcentral lists this ribosomal RNA (528 nucleotides) under uncultured bacterium. RNAcentral describes it as "partial 16S ribosomal RNA". It matches the Rfam family "Bacterial small subunit ribosomal RNA", at positions 355 to 874 of the family's 1533-position model. The record is from RNAcentral.